CCAAUACUGACCAACAUAUUAUUCAAGAUAUUUCAGAACCAAUUUUAAUAACAAAUUAACAACGAACCAAUUUCAUGGGGAGGUGAUUGUUUCCCUUAUUUCUUUCAAAGCAUCGAAGAGCUUACUCAGUUAAGAAUGGUGAUUCGCAGUCCAUAGCAUUUCGAGCUACCGAUGAAAACUCCCACGAUGUAAUGCAGAUAUUGCUACGAAAACUCUCGUUUGAAAAUUCCUCGCACAUUGACCUGUGGCAGAUAUCGCAGUCUUUUCAACCUAUGUGAAUUGUACAUUUAUUUAUUUUCUCCAUACUCAUUUAUAUAGAUAAAAAAAACGAAUUCACGAGCACUUUCCAUAUAAAUAAUAUUGUGUAAGCAUUUUACGUACGUCAACGAAAAAUUUCACCAUAACAAAAGUGAAAAGUGUAGAAAAUCUGACGCACCUACCUGAAUAUUUCGCAAACAUUUUGUUCGUUUGAAUUUUUCGAGUUGAAAAAUCACAAAAUUUGGUGACAAGGAUGAAAAUAACGUGACAAUUUGACAGCAAUGAUAUCACAAUUUCUUACCAUAUUAAGUUGGCCAAAUAUCGCUAUAUAUAGGCCUACGCAGUAAACGAGUCUGGAUCAUUGUGCGACGAAAACGAGUACCUACUUCAGCAACGUCGUCGAGUCACAAAGCAGCACAAAGAUGAAAUCAAUUAAUUUAUUAUUCAUGCUUGUAGCAGUGCAGACAUUCGCGCUCAUUUCCGCCGGAGGAGAUGACGAAGAAGGCGGGGGAAUGAUUGGCGAUUUGGAAAAGGGUUUGGGUGUUAACUUGGGUUCCAAAGGAGAUACCGGUGGGUCCUUCGGCAAACCUCCAAGCAGCAGUGGCAGCCCAACAGAUGAAAGCAGCCCAACAGAUGAAAGCAGCCCAACAGAUGAAAGCAGUCCAACAGAUGAAAGCAGCCCUACAGAUGAAAGCAGCCCUACAGAUGAAAGCAGCCCAACAGAUGAAAACAGUGAAACCCCCACCCCUGGCGGCACCCCUGGAAGCAGUGGACCCGGUGGCGGCGCCGGCGAUAUAUAAAGCUAAAGCGAAGGAAGACAGCGAGCGUGGCAAAUGGUUCAUUCGUUCCUCAAGAUAUUCAUUGAGGACUGUGAAACAUUUUGCCUUCAUUACAAUACGAUAUAUUUCAACACGACGAUUUAUUAGGUGCCUACCCUAACACUGCGCUGAAUUGGAUCAUAUUUAAAUUUUAAGUCUUUAAUAUUUUAAUAUUUUUAACGGGUUAUGUGUGGUGAUGGUUCAUAAAUUAAUUUUCAUUAAUGUGUAACGACAAUUUGUGUAUACUACUUUAAUAAAGGGUUGCUGCAUUAUGAAA
Long non-coding RNA from Planococcus citri (citrus mealybug), 1353 nucleotides. RefSeq lists it as uncharacterized. The record is from RefSeq and is a predicted model, not a curated record. NCBI's taxonomy places the organism in Eukaryota, Metazoa, Arthropoda, Insecta, Hemiptera, Pseudococcidae. The transcript is spliced from 2 exons.